RNAcentral lists this ribosomal RNA (328 nucleotides) under uncultured eukaryote. RNAcentral's name for it is "partial 18S ribosomal RNA". It matches the Rfam family "Eukaryotic small subunit ribosomal RNA", at positions 1470 to 1796 of the family's 1831-position model. The record is from RNAcentral.
CCCUUAGAUGUCCUGGGCCGCACGCGCGCUACACUGAUGCAUGCAACGAGUUUAUAACCUUGGCCUGAAAGGUCUGGGUAAUCUUUUGAACGAGCAUCGUGAUAGGGAUAGAUUAUUGCAAUUGUUAAUCUUGAACGAGGAAUUCCUAGUAAACGCGAGUCAUCAGCUCGCAUUGAUUACGUCCCUGCCCUUUGUACACACCGCCCGUCGCACCUACCGAUUGAAUGGUUUGGUGAAGAUCUCGGACUUCGAUAUUUAUUCUUUAUUGAGUUUAUAUUGUGGGAAGUUAUCUAAACCUCAUCAUUUAGAGGAAGGUGAAGUCGUAACA